GAAUUUUAUAUAUCGAAUAAAUAAAGUUUAUUUUGGUAUAUUUUAUUGGGAGGAUAUUUAAAUUAAUAAAACUUUAAUAAUAGGUUUUUACAUAAAUUAAUGAUUAAAAUAAUGAAUGAAUGUAAUUUAUAUAAAGAAUUAAUUACCUUAGGGAUAACAGCAUGAUAUUUUUUUGUAGUUCAUAUAUAAAAAAAUGUUUAU
Molecule: ribosomal RNA, 201 nt
Filed under: Hypoponera sp. IT14.05
Lineage: Eukaryota; Metazoa; Arthropoda; Insecta; Hymenoptera; Formicidae
Description: partial large subunit ribosomal RNA
Source: RNAcentral